This 578-nucleotide ribosomal RNA is filed under the name uncultured bacterium. Its description in RNAcentral is "bacterial SSU rRNA". It matches the Rfam family "Bacterial small subunit ribosomal RNA", at positions 102 to 694 of the family's 1533-position model. The record is from RNAcentral.
ACGGGUGAGUAACACGUGGGCAAUCUGCCCUUCACUCUGGGACAAGCCCUGGAAACGGGGUCUAAUACCGGAUAUCACUUCCACUCGCAUGGGUGGGGGUUGAAAGCUCCGGCGGUGAAGGAUGAGCCCGCGGCCUAUCAGCUUGUUGGUGAGGUAACGGCUCACCAAGGCGACGACGGGUAGCCGGCCUGAGAGGGCGACCGGCCACACUGGGACUGAGACACGGCCCAGACUCCUACGGGAGGCAGCAGUGGGGAAUAUUGCACAAUGGGCGAAAGCCUGAUGCAGCGACGCCGCGUGAGGGAUGACGGCCUUCGGGUUGUAAACCUCUUUCAGCAGGGAAGAAGCGAAAGUGACGGUACCUGCAGAAGAAGCGCCGGCUAACUACGUGCCAGCAGCCGCGGUAAUACGUAGGGCGCAAGCGCUGUCCGGAAUUAUUGGGCGUAAAGAGCUCGUAGGCGGUCUGUCGCGUCGGAUGUGAAAGCCCGGGGCUUAACCCCGGGUCUGCAUUCGAUACGGGCAGACUAGAGUGUGGUAGGGGAGAUCGGAAUUCCUGGUGUAGCGGUGAAAUGCGCAGA